AAUUCGAUUAGAGUUUGAUCCUGGCUCAGAUUGCCCUUGCUAAAAGGCAUGCCUUACACAUGCAAGUCGAACGGCAGCACGGGAGCUUGCUCCUGGUGGCGAGUGGCGAACCUCCUGAGUUAUACAUCGGAACGUACCCAGGAGUGGGGGAUACUGUAUCGAAAA
Molecule: ribosomal RNA, 165 nt
Filed under: uncultured bacterium
Lineage: Bacteria
Description: partial 16S ribosomal RNA
Rfam family: Bacterial small subunit ribosomal RNA
Source: RNAcentral